Molecule: transfer RNA, 69 nt
Filed under: Marmota monax (woodchuck)
Lineage: Eukaryota; Metazoa; Chordata; Mammalia; Rodentia; Sciuridae
Description: tRNA.Ala
Rfam family: tRNA (bases 4-64)
About the family: Transfer RNA (tRNA) molecules are approximately 80 nucleotides in length.
Source: RNAcentral
GUAUGUAGCUCAAUGGCAGAGCGCUUGCCUUGCAUAUACAAGGCCCUGAGUUCGAUCCUCAGCACCACA